Molecule: long non-coding RNA, 4694 nt
Organism: Equus caballus (horse)
Lineage: Eukaryota; Metazoa; Chordata; Mammalia; Perissodactyla; Equidae
Source: Ensembl
GUUACAAAAUGUAAGAGGCUAAAAAAUGACUUGAAAUCUGAAAAUCGCAAUUCCUAAAGUAAAGGUAGAUCGUUUCUGUCAUUUAAAAUGUGUGGCAGGAAGAAAAGCAGCAUUUAUUGAGCUCCUGCUAUAUGACUUUAUAUCUAUUGUUGCAUUUAACCCUUAGAUCAGCUCUUUAAGAGGCUGAUUACUCUCAAUUUACAUGUGAGGAAAUGCAAGCUACAGAAAUUACCCUAGAAAGAUGAAGCCCAGCAGCAGGAUUCAAUCCAGGUUCAUCCAACUCCCCAGAUGGUAUUCUUUCCAUCACACCAUGCGGUCUCUCUGAAAUACCUAAGUGAUUCUCCUAUUACAACAAACAGUGGGACACCUCCCCACACAGACCGCUCUCACCACCACCACCAAAUAGCUCAGCAUAUUUGGAGAUAAAAACAAAGGAAGAGAAAUGAAAUACGCAUGUGAAAACUUUAUAGAUUAUUCUGCCCUAUUCGGCAGCCAUUAUGGGAUUGUUACUUGAUAUGAAUGUAGAGAUUUGCUACUUUGAAAGCCUUAAAGUUUCGCUAUUGUGGCCCACAGCUCUCUGGAUAUGGCAGUAUUUCUUGAACUAGCAAAAAAAGCUUAUUUUCUUCAGUAUGUGAAUCCACAUAAAGGUAUUUAUCCUAAACAGCUACUUCCUCCUUUACCAUGGACUGAUUUGGGAUUCAGCUUUGUUGCGAUGCCACAGGUGUUUUAGAUUUUGAUGGCCGCUUCCAAGUGUGGGUCUGAUGAGCUCUCCGCAUGCGCUGCCUGCCUGGGUGAGCGCUGGCCAGGCUGAGUAGGCUCAUUCAUCCAGGAGAUGGCCCUGCAGCUGAAAAGAGGUGGGACGCCUACCACAGCAUGGUGUGCCAAGUGGUGCCAUGUCUGCACCCGGAUCCGAACCAAUGAACCCCGGGCCACCAAAGCGGAACAUGCACACUCAACCACCGUGCCACCGGGCCCACCCCACCCCGAAAAUUGUGACAAGUUAUGCAUUUCAAAUAUCUGUGAUAAGACUGAGGAUUGACUCCACUUAAUUUGGAUCCUGAGUGUUACAAGAGGUGGACAGUAGCGACGCUUUGAGUUGACACUCAUCUCCCUGGCACUAACUCUACUUAGACACAUGGAUGGCUUCUUACUGAAAAUGUCUGUCAGCUCUUUGCCUGAGUAAUUCCGCUGGCUGUAAGAAAGUGCUUGACUUGUGUGUGGAACAGACUGAAAAUGAUUGAAAGUUAACAUCCCAGGAGCGGUCUUCAACCAGUUAUGGAUGGGCGUUGGCAGAGAAACUCCAUAGUUUCUUCACCCCUCAGGUAGGACAACUCCGAGAAGUGUUCCACGUAGUCUCCCAGUGGACCCUAAAAGAGGGAGCCCCAAUUCCUCACACUCGUAAACGGUUUAUUAAUGUAGACUAUGUUGGCUUUGUUCCCUUCCCUGUCUUACUUCCUCACUCCCUAUCCCUGCUUCUUGGAAUCAUUUCCCUAGUAAAUUAAUUUCAUGCAAAUUUUUGUCUCAAGGAAUACAACCUAAGACAAGUGGUAAAACAGGUCAGAGUUCUGACCUUCUACCACUUAUAGUCUAGUAGAGGAGAAGGGCAUGAAUCAAAUAAUUUCGUAGUAAUUGUAAAUUUGCAAUGUGACACUACUGAAAAGAAGACACAUUGAGGCAAUCUGAUUGUGUGUGUGUGUAUUGGGGUUAGGAAACAUUUUUCCCAAGGAAGGGAUGUUUGAGCUGAAAAGUGAAAAAUGAAAAGAGGUGGAGAUAGAGUUCUGUAUGAAAGAAUAACAUAUGCAAAGGGCCUGUGGCAGGAAGAGCAUGGUAUGUAGAGAGACUAAAGAAAGGCAGUGUGGCUGAAGCAGAGGAUGAUGGGGAGCUCAGUGGAAAAUGAGACCAGGAAGGUAGGUAGAAGCCAGAUGGUGUAGGGCUUUCUAGUGUCUUAUUUAUGUGAAGAGCUAUGAGGAGCCAUUGGGAGGGUAUAAUCAGUGGGAUCAUAUCAUCAGAUUUACAUUUCACAAAGAUCAUUUUGUCUGAUGUAUACAAAAGACAUAGGGAGUCAGUGGAAGGAUAUUUGGGUUUAGUCGAUACAGGAAUCUAGGUGAAAGGCUUUUUCUACUAUCAUUACGAGGAAUUGAUUGGAUCCCAGGGUUCAAACCAUGGCUCUGUAAUUUACUCAGUGAAUGAUCUUGGGCCAGCUACUUAACCUUCCAUGCUGAAAUUUCCUCAUACGUAAAAUAACUGUAACUAGAUGUUAUAAUCAUGAUUAGGAUACUGCCUGACACGUCGUAAACACAAUCCAAGUGUUGGGUACAAUUAACAUCAUUAUUAUUAUCUUCCAACAUGUAAUAGGUAACUGGUGAAUUUUUAAGCUGGGUUACUCUCCAGGGGCUUUCGUCUUGUUUGGUAUAUACAGUUGCUGCUUUAACAGCUAGUAUAGAGGAGGGCAGGGUGGCAGCAGGUCUGCCAUGAAAUGCAUGCCUUAGUGCUUAGCAGCUGAAUAACCUGGAGCCAGUCGCUUCCCUCCUGUUUCCUCCUCUCUGUUACGGGGAGGGGUCUAGGAUUAGUACCUAACUUCACUGCUUCACUGGGUUAUUGUAGGAAGAAACGGACUGCUCUCCAUCAAACGCAGGUCGAUCCAUGGCACAGUAUGCUUGCUAUCACUUGUAACUAUUCUGAUAAGCACUGAUAAUUGUCUCUUCCAGUCAUCAUUCUCAUCAGUUUAUUCCUCCUCCAUCGUGAUCUUGUUAUAACAAUUAAAUAAGGAGCUAAGAUAACACUGUUUUACCUUUGGAAAAGUCCUUAGAGUAGAAAACCCUGCAAAAGUGUAGCUAUUUUUACUACUUUGCUGCAAAUUUUACAUUUUAUACUCCUUUAAUGUCUUUAGAUUGUGAGCAUCACAUUGCCACUGCUAUAUUAUUAUUGCAGUAAAGUCCUCAUGAAAAUGACUCUUCCUCUGUAUUUCCGUGAGUAAAAUCAUCACUCUGAAGUGAAUGGUGUUGUCAAUUCCUAAGAACCUCCCAGAUAUUCUAUGCUUUUCUCUUUGGCUUCAGUGAUUUCAUUGUAAUUGUUAGCAAAAUACCACAUAUUUUGCUCGUAAGCAUGAAAACUUGAGUUCUUAUACAAUUAUCUUUCAAGGCCAGAUCCUAAUGUUUCAUGAGGUAGAAGAGAAACAUAUUUUUACUUGCAGCCUGUGUAUAAAAAAAAGAAUUAUGAGUACUCCUAUAAAAUUUUUAUUGAAGCCCAUUAAAUUUUUUGCAAGCAUUGUCUAUUUAUUGAGAGUGGCCUUUUUUUCUUUAAACUCUGGCAUGAUAUUGAGAUAUUGAGAAACAAUCUCCUCUCUUGGAGAGAAUUAGGUCAGCUCUUACUGUUUUAUGCUUUUAGUGCAUUUCUCUGUGUAUGUGCUUAUACUUUCUACAUAGGCUUUUUAAGUUUCUUUGACUAAUGACUGAAUUAAAAUUUCUCACAUUUAGAUAUGUGAAAUAUGAAAUUGAAGAUUGCUUCCUGUUUGUCUUUGCUUUACUAAACCACUGGGCAUAAUAUACAGUAGUUAUAAGAUUAUAAAAUUUAAUCUGACUAAUAAUAUGCAUUAUUAAUAUAUUUUAACAUAUUUUUAUGUUACAAAAAUAUUCCUGAAGUAUUUUGAUUAAGAAAUUUUCUUAUUAUUUUUAACUUAACUUUCCAGCUUCAAAAGGAGAUUUCUAAAAUCAGUUGAUUCUGCUUUUGAUGUUUUGAUAGUUUCUGCAGUCUCUUUUGGUCGUAUUAUCUAUCUAUGACACUUUAAUGAAAAUACUUUGAAAAUAGCAGAGUUGAUUUCUUUUAUAGUAACAGAUGUGCAUAAUGCUUACUUUAAUGUUCUUGCCUCGUAUCUGACAUGUUGCUCCAAAUCUUCAAUGGCUUGAUUAUUGUAAAACAUAUAGUAACAACUCUUGGAAACACCUAAAAACUUCUUGGGCAUUACAUUUUAUCUUGAGGGGGCAGGGGCCAUGGCCAUCAGUCUUGCUGUGGGUCCUGUCACAGAUUCUACCCUGAGGCACUGACAAGAGCUGAAACAGUCCUUUCUACUGUGAAGUUUCUUUGGUCUGUCCAUUCAACAGACAUGGCUGAAUAUUAAAAGAAAAAUCUAUGGGACCUUUAAAUAACCUUUAAGCUUCAAUAUGUGUAAUUCAUUGGGUGUUCAUUUCAGUAUCAAUUUCUGUGAAAAGACAUUUCAAAGAUGAAACAUGUAAAAUUCCGUUUCAGCUCAACUUUAACAAAUGAACAUUUGCAUUCAGUUUUGAUGAUAGAGAACACUAACUUGAAUCCCAGUCAAGAAAAUAUUAUCCCUUCCCAAAUAAUUACUUUAUUUUCAUUAGUAUACCUGUAUUAUAAGAAAAUUAUGUUCAAUUAUUAUGUUUUGAAUUCCGUAAGUAAAAAUUUUGGGAAAAUUUGUCUUCUCUCUUGCUAUAAAAGUGCCUACAUAAUGUCCUUGAUUUCGCCUCUUGUCCUGAAAAAGCUAAAAUACUUACUGUCUGGCCCACUACAGAAAAAAGUGUGCUCAUCUCUGCUUUAAGGUAGUCCUCCUGGGCGCAGGAGGGAGCAUGGAUCGUAGGGUGGUGAGGGGUUAGGUUAGGUGCUAUGGCCGCAAUCCAGGAGACAGAGGAUGGUCUUCAGAAAUAAGCAGGACUGUCAGAGUGGUCCUCUGCCUAAAA